Molecule: ribosomal RNA, 1515 nt
Filed under: metagenome
Description: bacterial LSU rRNA
Rfam family: Bacterial large subunit ribosomal RNA
Source: RNAcentral
CAUAUUCCUGCACUGUUAUGUGCUGCGAUGGGGUGACGGAGAAGGCUAGGCUAGCCAUCGAAUGGUGGUGGUGGUUUAAGCGCGUAGGAGGUGUUUUUAGGCAAAUCCGGAGACACAAUACUCUGAGACGUGAUGACGAGCGGUUCGGAAGAACAGCGAAGUAGUUGAUGCCCAGCUUCCAAGAAAAGCCUCUAAGCAUAAGUACAUGAGAACCGUACCGUAAACCGACACAGGUGGACAGGUAGAGAAUACUAAGGCGUUUGAGAUAACUUAGGUGAAGGAACUCGGCAAAAUGGCACCGUAACUUCGGGAGAAGGUGCGCCUUUGAAGGUUAAGCCCUUGCGGUGUAAGCUUUUGAAGGUCGAAGAUACCAGGUGGCUGCGACUGUUUAUUAAAAACAUAGCACUCUGCGAACUCGAAAGAGGAAGUAUAGGGUGUGACGCCUGCCCGGUGCCGGAAGGUUAAUUGAAGGGGUUAUCUUCGGAGAAGCUCUGGAUCGAAGCCCCGGUAAACGGCGGCCGUAACAAUAACGGUCCUAAGGUAGCGAAAUUCCUUGUCGGGUAAGUUCCGACCUGCACGAAUGGCGUAACGAUAGCCACACUGUCUCCACCUAAGGCUCAGUGAAGUUGAAAUUGCUGUGAAGAUGCAGUGUACCCGCGGCAAGACGGAAAGACCCCGUGCACCUUUACUACAACUUUGCAUUGGAUUUUGAGUGUGUCUGUGUAGGAUAGGUGGGAGGCUAUGAAGCAUGUUCGCUAGAAUGUGUGCAGCCGACCUUGAAAUACCACCCUGAGAUACUUGAGAUUCUAACCAUGUUCUGUGAAACCAGGAUUGGGAAAGUGUAUGGUGGGUAGUUUGACUGGGGCGGUCUCCUCCCAAAGAGUAACGGAGGAGCGCGAAGGUACCCUCGUCAUGGUCGGAAAUCAUGAUAUGAGUGCAAAAGCAAAAGGGUGCUUGACUGCGAGACGGACAAGUCGAGCAGGUACGAAAGUAGGUUUUAGUGAUCCGGUGGUUCUGAAUGGAAGGGCCAUCGCUCAACGGAUAAAAGGUACGCCGGGGAUAACAGGCUGAUACCGCCCAAGAGUUCACAUCGACGGCGGUGUUUGGCACCUCGAUGUCGGCUCAUCACAUCCUGGGGCUGAAGCAGGUCCCAAGGGUAUGGCUGUUCGCCAUUUAAAGUGGUACGCGAGCUGGGUUUAGAACGUCGUGAGACAGUUCGGUCCCUAUCUGCCGUGGGCGCUGGAGAUUUGAGAGGAGUUGUUCCUAGUACGAGAGGACCGGAAUGAACGCACCUCUGGUGUACCGGUUGUCACGCCAGUGGCAUUGCCGGGUAGCUAAGUGCGGAGAGGAUAACCGCUGAAAGCAUCUAAGCGGGAAGCCUACCUCAAGAUAAGAUCUCCCGGGGCUAUAAGCCCCCUAAAGGUCUGUUGAAGACGACGACGUAGAUAGGCAGGGUGUGUAAGCGCUGAGAGGCGUUGAGCUAACCUGUACUAAUUGACCGUGCGGCUUGACCAU